AUUGAACGCUGGCGGCAUGCCUUACACAUGCAAGUCGAACGGCAGCGCGGGAGCAAUCCUGGCGGCGAGUGGCGAACGGGUGAGUAAUAUAUCGGAACGUGCCCUGUAGCGGGGGAUAACCUAUCGAAAGAUGGACUAAUACCACAUACGCUCUACGGAGGAAAGCGGGGGUCGCAAGACCUCGCACUAUAGGAGCGGCCGAUAUCGGAUUAGCUAGUUGGCGGGGUAAAAGCCCACCAAGGCGACGAUCCGUAGCUGGUCUGAGAGGAUGAUCAGCCACACUGGAACUGAGACACGGUCCAGACUCCUACGGGAGGCAGCAGUGGGGAAUUUUGGACAAUGGGCGCAAGCCUGAUCCAGCCAUGCCGCGUGAGUGAAGAAGGCCUUCGGGUUGUAAAGCUCUUUCGGCAGGAACGAAAUGGUUCGUGCUAAUACCACGGACUGAUGACGGUACCUGAAGAAGAAGCACCGGCUAAC
This 477-nucleotide ribosomal RNA is filed under the name uncultured bacterium. RNAcentral's name for it is "bacterial SSU rRNA". It matches the Rfam family "Bacterial small subunit ribosomal RNA", at positions 30 to 501 of the family's 1533-position model. The record is from RNAcentral.